This 1521-nucleotide ribosomal RNA is filed under the name metagenome. Its description in RNAcentral is "bacterial LSU rRNA". It matches the Rfam family "Bacterial large subunit ribosomal RNA", at positions 1422 to 2925 of the family's 2925-position model. The record is from RNAcentral.
AAAACAGGUUAAUAUUCCUGUACUUGGUGUUACUGCGAAGGGGGGACGGAGAAGGCUAUGUUGGCCGGGCGACGGUUGUCCCGGUUUAAGCGUGUAGGCUGGUUUUCCAGGCAAAUCCGGAAAAUCAAGGCUGAGGCGUGAUGACGAGGCACUACGGUGCUGAAGCAACAAAUGCCCUGCUUCCAGGAAAAGCCUCUAAGCAUCAGGUAACAUCAAAUCGUACCCCAAACCGACACAGGUGGUCAGGUAGAGAAUACCAAGGCGCUUGAGAGAACUCGGGUGAAGGAACUAGGCAAAAUGGUGCCGUAACUUCGGGAGAAGGCACGCUGAUAUGUAGGUGAAGCGACUUGCUCGUGGAGCUGAAAUCAGUCGAAGAUACCAGCUGGCUGCAACUGUUUAUUAAAAACACAGCACUGUGCAAACACGAAAGUGGACGUAUACGGUGUGACGCCUGCCCGGUGCCGGAAGGUUAAUUGAUGGGGUCAGCGCAAGCGAAGCUCUUGAUCGAAGCCCCGGUAAACGGCGGCCGUAACGAUAACGGUCCUAAGGUAGCGAAAUUCCUUGUCGGGUAAGUUCCGACCUGCACGAAUGGCGUAAUGAUGGCCAGGCUGUCUCCACCCGAGACUCAGUGAAAUUGAACUCGCUGUGAAGAUGCAGUGUACCCGCGGCAAGACGGAAAGACCCCGUGAACCUUUACUAUAGCUUGACACUGAACAUUGAGCCUUGAUGUGUAGGAUAGGUGGGAGGCUUUGAAGUGUGGACGCCAGUCUGCAUGGAGCCGACCUUGAAAUACCACCCUUUAAUGUUUGAUGUUCUAACGUGGACCCGUGAUCCGGGUUGCGGACAGUGUCUGGUGGGUAGUUUGACUGGGGCGGUCUCCUCCUAAAGAGUAACGGAGGAGCACGAAGGUUGGCUAAUCCUGGUCGGACAUCAGGAGGUUAGUGCAAUGGCAUAAGUCAGCUUGACUGCGAGCGUGACGGCGCGAGCAGGUGCGAAAGCAGGUCAUAGUGAUCCGGUGGUUCUGAAUGGAAGGGCCAUCGCUCAACGGAUAAAAGGUACUCCGGGGAUAACAGGCUGAUACCGCCCAAGAGUUCAUAUCGACGGCGGUGUUUGGCACCUCGAUGUCGGCUCAUCACAUCCUGGAGCUGGAGUAGGUCCCAAGGGUAUGGCUGUUCGCCAUUUAAAGUGGUACGCGAGCUGGGUUUAGAACGUCGUGAGACAGUUCGGUCCCUAUCUGCCGUGGGCGCUGGAGAACUGAGGGGGGCUGCUCCUAGUACGAGAGGACCGGAGUGGACGCAUCACUGGUGUUCGGGUUGUCAUGCCAAUGGCACUGCCCGGUAGCUAAAUGCGGAAGAGAUAAGUGCUGAAAGCAUCUAAGCACGAAACUUGCCCCGAGAUGAGUUCUCCCUGACUCCUUGAGAGUCCUGAAGGAACGUUGAAGACGACGACGUUGAUAGGCCGGGUGUGUAAGCGCAGCGAUGCGUUGAGCUAACCGGUACUAAUGAACCGUGAGGCUUAACC